Molecule: ribosomal RNA, 253 nt
Filed under: uncultured bacterium
Lineage: Bacteria
Description: partial 16S ribosomal RNA
Rfam family: Bacterial small subunit ribosomal RNA
Source: RNAcentral
UACGUAGGGGGCGAGCGUUGUCCGGAAUUAUUGGGCGUAAAGAGCUCGUAGGCGGCUUGUUGCGUCCGCUGUGAAAGCCCGGGGCUUAACCCCGGGUCUGCAGUGGAUACGGGCAGGCUAGAGGUAGGUAGGGGAGAAUGGAAUUCCUGGUGUAGCGGUGAAAUGCGCAGAUAUCAGGAAGAACACCCGUGGCUAAGGCGGCUCUCUAGUACGGUACUGACGCUGAGACGCGAAAGCGUGGGGAGCGAACAGG